CCUACAGGUGGCAGCAGUCGAGAAUCAUUCACAAUGGGGGAAACCCUGAUGGAGCGACGCCGCGUGGGGGAAUGAAGGUCUCCGGAUUGUAAACCCCUGUCAUGUGGGAGCAAAUUAAAAAGAUAGCACCACAAGAGGAAGAGACGGCUAACUCUGGGCCAGCAGCCGCGGUAAGACAGAGGUCUGAAGCGUUGGUCGGAAUCACUGGGCGUAAAGCGUUCGUAGGCUGUUUAGUAAGUAUGUUGUGAAAGGCGCGGGCUCAACCCGUGGACGGCAUAUGCUACUGCGUGACUAGAGUAAUGGAGGGGGAACCGGAAUUCUCGGUGUAGCAGUGAAAUGCGUAGAUAUCGGGAGGAACACUCGUGGCGAAGGCGGUUUCCUGGACAUUAACUGACGCUGAGGCACGAAGGCCAGGGGAGCGAAAGGGAUUAGAUACCCCAGUAGUC
Molecule: ribosomal RNA, 446 nt
Filed under: uncultured bacterium
Lineage: Bacteria
Description: partial 16S ribosomal RNA
Rfam family: Bacterial small subunit ribosomal RNA
Source: RNAcentral